CGCUAGCUACAGGCUUAACACAUGCAAGUCGAGGGGCAGCAUGGUCUUAGCUUGCUAAGGCCGAUGGCGACCGGCGCACGGGUGAGUAACACGUAUCCAACCUGCCGUCUACUCUUGGACAGCCUUCUGAAAGGAAGAUUAAUACAAGAUGGCAUCAUGAGUCCACAUGUUCACAUGAUUAAAGGUAUUCCGGUAGACGAUGGGGAUGCGUUCCAUUAGAUAGUAGGCGGGGUAACGGCCCACCUAGUCUUCGAUGGAUAGGGGUUCUGAGAGGAAGGUCCCCCACAUUGGAACUGAGACACGGUCCAAACUCCUACGGGAGGCAGCAGUGAGGAAUAUUGGUCAAUGGGCGAGAGCCUGAACCAGCCAAGUAGCGUGAAGGAUGACUGCCCUAUGGGUUGUAAACUUCUUUUAUAAAGGAAUAAAGUCGGGUAUGGAUACCCGUUUGCAUGUACUUUAUGAAUAAGGAUCGGCUAACUCCGUGCCAGCAGCCGCGGUAAUACGGAGGAUCCGAGCGUUAUCCGGAUUUAUUGGGUUUAAAGGGAGCGUAGAUGGAUGUUUAAGUCAGUUGUGAAAGUUUGCGGCUCAACCGUAAAAUUGCAGUUGAUACUGGAUAUCUUGAGUGCAGUUGAGGCAGGCGGAAUUCGUGGUGUAGCGGUGAAAUGCUUAGAUAUCACGAAGAACUCCGAUUGCGAAGGCAGCCUGCUAAGCUGCAACUGACAUUGAGGCUCGAAAGUGUGGGUAUCAAACAGGAUUAGAUACCCUGGUAGUCCACACGGUAAACGAUGAAUACUCGCUGUUUGCGAUAUACAGCAAGCGGCCAAGCGAAAGCGUUAAGUAUUCCACCUGGGGAGUACGCCGGCAACGGUGAAACUCAAAGGAAUUGACGGGGGCCCGCACAAGCGGAGGAACAUGUGGUUUAAUUCGAUGAUACGCGAGGAACCUUACCCGGGCUUAAAUUGCAGAUGAAUUACGGUGAAAGCCGUAAGCCGCAAGGCAUCUGUGAAGGUGCUGCAUGGUUGUCGUCAGCUCGUGCCGUGAGGUGUCGGCUUAAGUGCCAUAACGAGCGCAACCCUUGUUGUCAGUUACUAACAGGUUCCGCUGAGGACUCUGACAAGACUGCCAUCGUAAGAUGUGAGGAAGGUGGGGAUGACGUCAAAUCAGCACGGCCCUUACGUCCGGGGCUACACACGUGUUACAAUGGGGGGUACAGAGGGCCGCUACCACGCGAGUGGAUGCCAAUCCCAAAAACCUCUCUCAGUUCGGACUGGAGUCUGCAACCCGACUCCACGAAGCUGGAUUCGCUAGUAAUCGCGCAUCAGCCACGGCGCGGUGAAUACGUUCCCGGGCCUUGUACACACCGCCCGUCAAGCCAUGGGAGCCGGGGGUACCUGAAGUGCGUAACCGCGAGGAGCGCCCUAGGGUAAAACUGGUGACUGGGG
RNAcentral lists this ribosomal RNA (1442 nucleotides) under uncultured organism. RNAcentral's name for it is "SSU rRNA". It matches the Rfam family "Bacterial small subunit ribosomal RNA". The record is from RNAcentral.